GUUUAAGAUAAAGUCUAUGUACUAGCCCAUAAAUCUGCUAGAAACGGUAUAUGCUUAUUCAAAGUGUAGGAUUAACCAUGAAAAGGGAAUGAUAGACUCCAAAGACCUUGGGAGUCAUAAGAUAGCUCUGGCCAAAUAGAUUUGCUCAUUUUAUAUCCUCUAUGUAUGCACAAUUAAGUUUGCUUCUGAUGUGUGGUGUUUUUUG
This 205-nucleotide unclassified non-coding RNA is filed under the name Hevea brasiliensis (rubber tree). Lineage: Eukaryota; Viridiplantae; Streptophyta; Magnoliopsida; Malpighiales; Euphorbiaceae. The record is from RNAcentral.